This 492-nucleotide ribosomal RNA is filed under the name uncultured bacterium. Its description in RNAcentral is "partial 16S ribosomal RNA". It matches the Rfam family "Bacterial small subunit ribosomal RNA", at positions 29 to 507 of the family's 1533-position model. The record is from RNAcentral.
AGUGAACGCUGGCGGUAGGCCUAACACAUGCAAGUCGAACGGCAGCACAGUAAGAGCUUGCUCUUACGGGUGGCGAGUGGCGGACGGGUGAGGAAUACAUCGGAAUCUACUUUUUCGUGGGGGAUAACGUAGGGAAACUUACGCUAAUACCGCAUACGACCUACCGGUGAAAGCAGUGGAUCUUCGGACCUUUCGCGAUUGAAUGAGCCGAUGUCGGAUUAGCUAGUUGGCGGGGUAAAGGCCCACCAAGGCGACGAUCCGUAGCUGGUCUGAGAGGAUGAUCGGCCACACGGGAACUGAGACACGGUCCAGACUCCUACGGGAGGCAGCAGUGGGGAAUAUUGGACAAUGGGCGCAAGCCUGAUCCAGCCAUACCGCGUGGGUGAAGAAGGCCUUCGGGUUGUAAAGCCCUUUUGUUGGGAAAGAAAAGCAGCAGGUUAAUACCCCGCUGUUCUGACGGUACCCAAAGAAUAAGCACCGGCUAACUUCGUG